RNAcentral lists this ribosomal RNA (470 nucleotides) under uncultured bacterium. Its description in RNAcentral is "partial 16S ribosomal RNA". It matches the Rfam family "Bacterial small subunit ribosomal RNA", at positions 28 to 506 of the family's 1533-position model. The record is from RNAcentral.
GACGAACGCUGGCGGCGUGCUUAACACAUGCAAGUCGAACGGAAAGGCCCUGCUUGCAGGGUGCUCGAGUGGCGAACGGGUGAGUAACACGUGGGUGAUCUGCCCCUUACUUUGGGAUAAGCCUGGGAAACUGGGUCUAAUACUGGAUAGGACCAUGCUGUAGGUGGUGUGGUGGAAAGAUUUUUUCGGUAAGGGAUGAGCUCGCGGCCUAUCAGCUUGUUGGUGGGGUAAUGGCCUACCAAGGCGUCGACGGGUAGCCGGCCUGAGAGGGUGGACGGCCACAUUGGGACUGAGAUACGGCCCAGACUCCUACGGGAGGCAGCAGUGGGGAAUAUUGCACAAUGGGCGCAAGCCUGAUGCAGCGACGCCGCGUGGGGGAUGACGGCCUUCGGGUUGUAAACUCCUUUCAGCCAUGACGAAGCCUCUUUUGGGGUGACGGUAGUGGUAGAAGAAGCACCGGCGAACUACGU